RNAcentral lists this ribosomal RNA (253 nucleotides) under uncultured bacterium. RNAcentral describes it as "partial 16S ribosomal RNA". It matches the Rfam family "Bacterial small subunit ribosomal RNA", at positions 524 to 776 of the family's 1533-position model. The record is from RNAcentral.
UACGUAGGGUGCAAGCGUUGCCCGGAUUUAUUGGGCGUAAAGGGCGCGUAGGCGGCUCGGCACGUCCGUUGUGAAAUCGCCCGGCUCAACUGGGCGGGGUCAGCGGAUACGGCCGAGCUUGAGCAAGCUAGGGGGCAAUGGAAUUCCCGGUGUAGUGGUGGAAUGCGUAGAUAUCGGGAGGAACACCAGUGGCGAAAGCGGCUUCCUGGUCCAGCAUCGACGUUCAGGCACGAAAGCGUGGGGAGCAAACAGG